This 252-nucleotide ribosomal RNA is filed under the name uncultured Bacteroidales bacterium. RNAcentral's name for it is "partial 16S ribosomal RNA". It matches the Rfam family "Bacterial small subunit ribosomal RNA", at positions 524 to 776 of the family's 1533-position model. Lineage: Bacteria; Pseudomonadati; Bacteroidota; Bacteroidia; Bacteroidales. The record is from RNAcentral.
UACGGAGGAUGCGAGCGUUAUCCGGAUUUAUUGGGUUUAAAGGGUGCGCAGGCGGUCUGUUAAGUCAGCGGUCAAAGCCCGGGGCUCAACCUCCGCCCGCCGUUGAAACUGACGGUCUUGAGUGGGCGAGAAGUAUGCGGAAUGCGUGGUGUAGCGGUGAAAUGCAUAGAUAUCACGCAGAACCCCGAUUGCGAAGGCAGCGUACCGGCUCCACACUGACGCUGAGGCACGAAAGCGUGGGUAUCGAACAGG